Molecule: long non-coding RNA, 247 nt
Organism: Oncorhynchus keta (chum salmon)
Lineage: Eukaryota; Metazoa; Chordata; Actinopteri; Salmoniformes; Salmonidae
Exons: 2
Source: RefSeq, a predicted model, not a curated record
UUGCGAAAGUAUUCGGCCCCCUUGAACUUUGCGACCUUUUGCCACAUUUCAGGCUUCAAACAUAAAGAUAUAAAACUGUAUUUUUUUGAUUUAGACAUACCCCAAACGACUUACAGCUGUAAUCGCAGCAAAAGGUGGCGCUACAAAGUAUUAACUUAAGGGGGCUGAAUAAUUUUGCACGCCCAAUUUUUCAGUUUUUGAUUUGUUAAAAAAGUUUGAAAUAUCCAAUAAAUGUCGUUCCACUUCA